RNAcentral lists this ribosomal RNA (489 nucleotides) under uncultured bacterium. Its description in RNAcentral is "bacterial SSU rRNA". It matches the Rfam family "Bacterial small subunit ribosomal RNA", at positions 28 to 507 of the family's 1533-position model. The record is from RNAcentral.
GAUGAACGCUAGCGAUAGGCCUAACACAUGCAAGUCGAGGGGCAUCACAUGAAGUAGCAAUACGGAUGGUGGCGACCGGCGCACGGGUGAGUAACACGUAUGCAACCUGCCUUCAACAAGGGGAUAACCCGUUGAAAGACGGACUAAUACCCUAUAACACAGGGGUCCCGCAUGGGAAUAUUUGUUAAAGGACAACCGGUUGAAGAUGGGCAUGCGUUCCAUUAGCUAGUUGGCGGGGUAACGGCCCACCAAGGCAACGAUGGAUAGGGGAACUGAGAGGUUUAUCCCCCACACUGGUACUGAGACACGGACCAGACUCCUACGGGAGGCAGCAGUGAGGAAUAUUGGACAAUGGACGCAAGUCUGAACCAGCCACGUCGCGUGAAGGAAGACGGCCCUACGGGUUGUAAACUUCUUUUAUACGGGAAUAAAGUGCCCCACGCGUGGGGUUUUGCAUGUACCGUAUGAAUAAGGAUCGCUAACUCCGUG